GCUGCCGGUGUCGAACACCACCGUGAACCGCUCCGACGGCGUGCCGAGCCCGAUGGUCACCACGUAGUUGCCCGCGCCCAGCGCUUGCCCGGACGAUGCCGGGAGGUUCGCCGACGUCGCGUAGGACGACGCCGACGACGCCGGAGUGGUAGCCGACGGCGCGCCGGGCCGGAGCUGGACCGGUGCCGCGCCGCGCUUCGGCCUCGCCCCGCCGGUGGUCUCGGACACGCGGCGGUGGAUGUACUCGACGCGGCGCUGGUCGGCGGCGAGGAUCUCCGAGUGGGACGGCGCCUUCCCGCGCUU
Molecule: long non-coding RNA, 303 nt
Filed under: Setaria italica (foxtail millet)
Lineage: Eukaryota; Viridiplantae; Streptophyta; Magnoliopsida; Poales; Poaceae
Description: long non-coding RNA (SITA_LNC003215)
Source: RNAcentral